UGCGAGAGACGUCCAGUCAGCGGCGGUAGUACGGGGGGGGCAGGGUUGUUGUGGAAUCAUUGGUGGUAAAGCUGGCGUAGGAGGCCGUGUAAGUCCGUGGUGAAAGGCAAAGGCUCAACCUUUGAAAGCCGAUGGAUACUGCAGGGCUGGAGUCCGGAAGAUGCGAGGUGAAGUCCUGGUGUAGCGGUGGAAUGCGCAGAUAUCAGGAGGAACACCAAUAGCGAAGGCAGCUCGCUGGGACGGUACUGACGCUAAGGCGCGAAAGCGUGGGGAGCGAACAGGAUUAGAUACCCCUGAGUC
Molecule: ribosomal RNA, 300 nt
Filed under: uncultured bacterium
Lineage: Bacteria
Description: bacterial SSU rRNA
Rfam family: Bacterial small subunit ribosomal RNA
Source: RNAcentral